ACUCCUACGGGAGGCAGCAGUGAGGAAUAUUGGUCAAUGGAGGGAACUCUGAACCAGCCAUCCCGCGUGUAGGAAGACGGCCUUAUGGGUUGUAAACUACUUUUAUACAGGAAGAAACGUACCCUCGUGAGGGUGCCUGACGGUACUGUAGGAAUAAGCACCGGCUAACUCCGUGCCAGCAGCCGCGGUAAUACGGAGGGUGCGAGCGUUAUCCGGAUUUAUUGGGUUUAAAGGGUCCGUAGGCGGAUUAAUAAGUCAGUGGUGAAAUCCCAUCGCUUAACGAUGGAACUGCCAUUGAUACUGUUAGUCUUGAAUGAGGGUGCAGUGGUUGGAAUGUGUAGUGUAGCGGUGAAAUGCAUAGAUAUUACACAGAACACCGAUUGCGAAGGCAGAUCACUAACCCUAAAUUGACGCUGAGGGACGAAAGCGUGGGGAGCGAACAGGAUUA
This 448-nucleotide ribosomal RNA is filed under the name uncultured bacterium. Its description in RNAcentral is "bacterial SSU rRNA". It matches the Rfam family "Bacterial small subunit ribosomal RNA", at positions 335 to 780 of the family's 1533-position model. The record is from RNAcentral.